RNAcentral lists this long non-coding RNA (360 nucleotides) under Capsicum annuum. Its description in RNAcentral is "long non-coding RNA (CANN_LNC022046)". The record is from RNAcentral. Lineage: Eukaryota; Viridiplantae; Streptophyta; Magnoliopsida; Solanales; Solanaceae.
UGCAGAUGUCAACCACAAAAUAUUGAAGCAAAGAAGUUCGGCCAUUUUCUUACAGAUUUUGGUGUUCUGUUGUCAAGUACUUUAUGCCUAUUUAGGACAGGAGACUAUAUUUUCCCCAGUAGUUAAGCUUAUUAUCUUUCUACGGGCAGGCUGGCUCAAAUCUUUUGGAAAAGGACAUUAUGAGUGCAAAGUGGAGGAGAGGGCAUAGUGGAUAUUCACUUCUGUACUGAAGCCAAAAGAUAAUUACCAGUAUUUUUCCCUUUUCUUGAACAAUAGAAAUUUGAAAGUGUAACUUUGUAAAAUGGCGUCAAGUUCUGAAUGAAGCCAUUAGUGAACAAUGCUAUUGGCCGAACACUGUGA